Pelobates cultripes (western spadefoot toad) is the source of this 13140-nucleotide non-coding RNA. NCBI's taxonomy places the organism in Eukaryota, Metazoa, Chordata, Amphibia, Anura, Pelobatidae. The record is from the annotation of a GenBank genome assembly.
AGAGCAUGAAGAAUCAACCAAGUCGCAUUUUGGGUAAGUAAGGGGCAGAUCCGUUCAAAUGUUUGUUUUGAGUUAUAAAAGGCUAGUUUUGUUAACAGACUCUGCAGGGAGAGCAACCGUGUGGAGGAUUAGUAUUAUGAGGUGGGAAGAUAAGCUCUGUGAAAUUGGGAAUUCAUCCAGUCGGAAGAGAGGCAACAGGUGGCCGUUCUAGGACAGCUGGGGAGAGAUCAGUGAAGACAAGGUACAAUUAGGUAUCUUAAGCAUAGACAUGUUAGUAGAAUCCAAGCCAACAGAGGCAAUAUAGAUAGCUUGGAGGAAAGAUAAGACGGGGGGAUGAUAGAAACAUUUAAAUACAUAAAGGGAAUAAACACAGUAAAAGAGGAGACUAUAUUUAAAAGAAGAAAAACUACCACAACAAGAGGACAUAGUCUUAUAUUAGAGGGGCAAAGGUUUAAAAAUAAUUUCAGGAAGUAUUACUUUACAGAGAGGGUAGUGGACGCAUGGAAUAGCCUUCCAGCUAAAGUGGUAAAGGUUAACACGGUGAAGGAGUUUAAGCAUACGUGGGAUAGGCAUAAGGCAAUCCUAGACUUAAAGGGAAACUCCAGUGCCAGGAAAACAAUUGCGGGGGGGCAGUGGAAUGAAGAAAACCAUAAAAGGUCAGUAGUGCGAAGUCUGAUGUGGUGAGAUGAAGUGGUUUUGGUGCCUGGAGUGUUCCUUUAAACUACUAUAGACUUAUAGACCCACCUCCUUCUGCUUUAUACAUACAGAUGACUACCUGCAAAUGGUUAAUUAAAACUGAAUAUGUGCAUAUGUUUACAACGAAACCACAAACAAGAUAGAGAUAUAUAUCUUUUUUUUUUGUCUACAGUAAAUUCCAUAAAAUCUAUCUUGCAUUAUGAUAAGUGUACUAUGUAAUCUUUUUUUUUUUUUUGGCUGGAUUGUAAGGAAUUUCAGGAAUGUAUAAACACUUGCUUGGCUUUGAUAAAGUUUGCUUUGUUCCUCUUGUGACCUGACCUAUUGAGACUGGUUUCCUAGGACAUUUAGAACUUUUUUUGGUUACUAUUUUCACCUAUUUAUAAAUUUGUCUUGCAUUAUAUUUUCCCUUUUCAGUGCUGAAAUAUGUUUGCAUAUUGUUUUAAAGUGUAUUUAAUAUCUAACUGCAUCCACAAGGUUAUGAAACAUAUUUUAGUUUAUGUUAAAUUCUUGCUCACACCAGUGAAUCUCAGGUAUCAAUUGAUAUAUAGAGCUCCAUUUUUAGUGGCUCCAGAUUGACAGAUGAGCUGUAUGCUGUGCUCAAAUUGAGCCCUGUAUACAGCUUUUAAAAUCGGUAUUUAAAUCUCUGCUGACUGUAAUGCAGUAUAAGCACGGUUACCUUUCUGCUCCCUGUAAUAUUGAAAAUGGCCAUUACAUUGUGGUCACUUACUAUUCUCUACUGUUUUAACUAGGAGACCAAUCUGCUAUCAGUACUGAUAUUAGCAGAGCUUUUCCUUAAGGAAGUUGAAGUAGGAUUUCAGAGGUAAUGCUAUUUUUAGGGUCAUGGUUUAGGGUAGGUAUACAGUUGGUGUAAGCAUAGUGUUAGGAUUCGUAUAGCAAAAAGUGGAAGGUUGGUAAAUGGUUAGCAUUAACUACCAAAACAUGUUUUGGAUCCUAGACAUAGGAAGCAUUUAACAAUGAGGACUAAUACUGGAAUUUAUUUUGAGGAAGUACAAAUCACUUCCUUCCAGCUUACCAAUGAGCCGCGCAGGAGAGGGGAGGGAGACUGAGAGAUAGAGAGCCUAGACCAGACUCCCAUAAUACUCAGCCAGAUGCCACUUGACCCCAAGGAAGCCACCCUCCUGCACCGAAGAGCAAUGGAAGAAAGGUGGCGACUAAAAAUAUGUAAUGUGAUCUUUGUGUAUGUGUAUUAUCUCUGUGUAUUGUCUGUGUUAUCUGUAUGUGUGUCGGUGUUUAAUGAUCUGUAUGAUUAUCAUUAUGUGUAUUUUUGUGUCUGUGUAUAUUCAUUUGUGGGAUUGUGUAUUUGUACGUGUUAGUGUGUGUUUCAUUGUAUCAGCAUGUGUCAUUGUAUGUCUGUGUAUCUGCCUAUCUGUACCUAUGUGUCUGUGUUUCCGGAUGUGUCUGUGUGUGUGGCAGUACAUAUGUAUAUGUAAAAAGGAAGUAAUAGGCUCUCACUAUAGAAUCCUGCAAAAGAUAGUUAUAGGCAGCAGUAACUAACUAGUUCAAGGAUUCCCAAACCUUGUAAAGUGAAAUGUAAGAAAGAAAAGGGGAAAUGGCACCCAAAAUGUGAGUACAAGGUAAUAUAAGUACACAAGUCUUUAGGGGUAUGUACACAAUUGACCUCAAAAAAGAAUAAAGACAAGAAAUAAUAGUGUAGUACUGUAUAUACAAUAGAUAUGUCGUGGAUAAGCUUUUGUAAUUUCCACUCACAUUCUAAUGAGCUAACUUGGAUCUCUGUUGUAUUGCGCAUGGACAGAACAAUUCUCAUCUAAGGAUAUAUGGUGAUGUAGUCGUCACGAAUGCCCCAAUUAGAAUGCGAUGUGCAGGACAUGUAUAAAAGUAAAUACAAAAGGCAACCUCCAAUGGUGAAGUAAGUACUGGUGGAAAGUCAAGUGAAUAAAUAAAGUAAUGUACUUACAUUUACCAGAGCAGAAGUUGCUCUAGUUUUAACAGCAUGGAUGGUAUAAUCCCCACCUAGGAAUAUGAUGGUACCAGGAAGCAGUAGAUGGAUAAAUAAAACGUGUGUGUAUCUUCCAAGUCGAAUUAAUAAAAGACCCAGGACAUACUUGAAAACGAGAGAAAUCUCAAUGUAUCUUUCCUGGUAAAAUAUUUUAUAAAUAAAAUUAGCUCAAAAUAAAAAUCAGCGUUUCAGUCUGUAUCACAGACUUUCAUCAGGCCAGUGUUUGUGACUAAGUGGUUACUAAAAAAGACUGGACAUACCCCAUUUGCAAUACCUUGGGUUGUCUUCUUUUGCAAAUGGUAUGCCAUCAUGGGGGUAAUUCUCAUUCCUGGGCUACCAUACGCUCUCAAAGGCAACGUAACCAACCUGGCCAUUUUCAAUGUAAAAAUAUUUGACCCAUAUAUUUGACCCUGUAACUUUCAAAAACGCUAUAAAACCUGUACAUGGGGGGUACUGUUUUACUCGGGAGACUUUGAACACAAAUAUUAGUGUUUAAAAACAGGAAAACGUAUCACAACAAUUAUAUCAUCAGUAAAAGUGCUGUUUGUGUGUGAAAAAUGCAAAAAAAGUCACUUUCACUGACAAUAUCAUCGCUGUGAUAUGUUUUACUGUUUUGAAUCACUAAUAUUUGUGUUCAGUGAAGUCUCCCGAGUAAAACAGUACCCCCAUGUACAGGUUUUAGGGUGUCCUAGAACGUUACAAGGUAAAAUACAGUGCUAGCAAAUUUUAAUUCUAGACUUUCGACCCUAGAUUGGCAGGCAGGUCCCUCAAAUUGCAAUCAAUAAAAUUACUUAAUUAUGUAAAAAUAUUACAUAAAUACGCAUGUAGAAUUUAAAUAUAUAUGCAUAUUUAUAUAUUUUAAGUAUAUUUAUGUAAUUUUGUAUAUGGACAUAUGUAUAUUUCGUAUUAUUUCUAUUUAUUUAUAUGUACAUAGAUAUAUACAAUUUCAUUCUAAGUGUAUUUUGAUAUAAAUAUAUAUAUAUAUAUAUAUAUAUAUAUAUAUAUAUAUUAAUAUCAAAAUACAGUUAGAAUAAAAUUUCAUAUAGAUAUAUAAUUUUGUAAAAAUUUUUAUUAAAGUUUUUAUUUAAUUUAAAUUAUUUGUAUUUUAUAAAAAAUAUAUAUUUAUACACAAUAUAUAGUUAUUCUAUAUAUUAUAUAUACGUGUGUAAUUUAAUUAUAAGUAUUUUUAUAUUAAUAUAUGUAUAUAUUAAUAUAAAAAAACACUUAGCAUGACAUAUAUAUAUAUAUAUAUAUAUAUAUAUAUAUAUAUAUAAUAUAUAUAUUUUUUUUAUGAUUUUACACUUGCAGGCAGACACAUGGACACCUAUUCUAACCAUGUGACCGCUCUGUUGAGCGAUCACAUGGCCACAAGGGUCCUAAUCCGCCAUGGGGAGACUGUCUGUCUGGGCUGCAGGCAGUCUCCCCACACCGGGAGCAUCGCCGAUCGCCGCCGUGGGAAUGACGGCGAUCGGGUAAGUACAUUUCACUGUUAGGACGGUUCAGAAUCGUCAGCGGUCGGCAAUGCAAAAAUGCCGAUGAUGGUCCUGAACCGUCCUCGGUCCUAAAGGGGUUAAAGGGUGUCUUCAGAGAAAAGGCAGUGUUUACACUCAGACAGCCAGUAGAGAUGCUUCCUGUGUCACUUCAGUUCAGCUUCUACACGCUCUGCAUGGAGGCACUGAACGCUCCCCAUAGAGAUACAUUUACACUACAGUCUCUAUUCCCCACUACAGCCUUUCUCCCACCACUAAAAUCGCUACUGUAGGUCAUAUUCCCCCAUAAGAGUCAUUGCCUCUUCCUUACAGCUCCUAUUUCCCCACUACAGCCCCUAACCACCCAACACCCACCCUACAGUCUCUAUCUCCAAUUACAACCCCUUUACCCCACUACAGCACCUAUUCGCCCAUUUGAGCCUCUGUCACCCAUUUGAGCCCUUAUCUCCCCACUACAGACCCAGUCCCACACACAGCUCCUGUCCCCCACUGAAACUCCUACCCCCCAAUCCCCAUUACACUCCAUUUUUUUUAGUACAAGGAUGUAGAUGUGCGUGAUGUAUUUGUGAAGCUAGCAAGUUGGUGGUUACAAGGGGGCUCCAUGAUCUCCUAUUGCCCUUGGGACACAUGAGUUGUCAGACUGCUCCUGAUUUUACCAAUGUGGUAUAUUUUUAUGUUUGUUAGCUUUCCACCAACUAAUCAAUAAUGAGAUUUAUUGGAAACUAUUCCACCAACAAAUCAAUGAGAUUUAUUGGAAACUAUAUUCAUAAUUAAUUAUAAUCUAUUUUUAUCGAUUUAAUUGUCGUAGCUCUACUGUGAUUUAGAAAUUUAGUUUUAUUUUUCACGCUUCUCGGAUAAAUGUUUGUUAAAUAUGGGCCGAAACGUAACUAUCAGAAACAUCAGUAGCAGUUGGGUGUGUUCUUGAUCAGCAAGAGGACCUAUUAAAAAUAACCUAUUAAAAAAACAUUUUUAGUGGCUCAGAGCCACUAGAGGCAUGGUUUCAGACAAAUGUAAGCUUUGUUGUUUUGGCAAUGUUUUACUUUUUGUCUGAAAAAAUGCUGUAUGCACAAAAAUUUAUCCAUUAACCUUGAAAAAGACCUCAGUGGCGAUCGAAACGUUGCUUGUUUAUCAUGUUUUUCGAAUAAAACUGCUGCAUAAGCUAUUCUGAGUGCCUGGACUACAUUUUGUGUUUACCCAAUGGUGUGGGGUUAUCCAGUCUCAGGUUUGACUGCACCAGGACCAGUAUAGGAGUACGGUGUCCUUUUGUUAUCUGCAUAAAGGACAGGUGCAGGACAGAAAAUGCAUAAGAAAGAUAUCGGUGUAAGAAGUAAUAAAGAACCUAUAAAAGUAGAGAAUUCAGAAGAAUCCUAACUUCUAAUUAAAUAGAUAUGCACACUCCCUACUUAUGGAGUAUAUAGACCUCUGUGUGUUACAAAGCUCUCUGUUCAGAAGGUUAAACUCGAUGGAUUUGAGUCUCCAUAUUCAACUUAGAUUAUUUUGUGCAGCAACCUUUUUUCAUAUUGUGUAGAAACCAUAUGUUAUCUUUGAAGGAACCCAAAAUUAGAGGGCGUCCUUUCCAAAAUCUGGCUAAUCUAUGCAUUAUUGUGGUGCACAGUCAAUGAGGUAAUGUCAGGGAAUUGAGUUGCGUUUCAAAUGAAUUGUCACUGGUGAAUGAAGCUUUUUUAAAGAGAGCGGUAUGUCCAGAACCUGGAUAACCUUUUUAAUUUAUUUUAUUUUUUUUAACUUAUUAUCUGUACCCUGCUCUGAAAAUGCCCAAAACAAAAUGUUGGUAUUUAGAGGCAAAGAUAGAUUUAUAUAUAUAUAUAUAUAUAUAUAUAUAUAUAUAUAUAUAUUUUUUUUUUUUUUUUUUUUUUUUGUUUGUAUUACCAAACUUUUGUUAUGAAUGUGUAUAAAUGAAGAAUCAUUACUUGGUGAAUACAAAGACUGUGAGCUGUGCGCUUAAAUAAUUAUAGAAAAUAGUGUAUAAGUGACAGCUGCUACACACUUUAGUGGGAAUCUCCCUUACUCCCUAAAUGAUACAGAUGAAAGAAAGGUCUAUAUCCGACUAGGUUUGAAAUACAUCAGACCAGGUCGUAUUUAUGAGUGGAGCGCUAUAGAUAGGUGGAGAAAGAGUAAUUUACACUUACUCCAAACAGACUAAUUGUUCAAAUAUUGGUAGAACAUAAAUGGGGGAGAGAGGAGAAAAUAAUCACAUAGUAUAAAUCUGUGCUGGAUACGUGGCAAAAAAGACUAUGAGAUGUACACUCACAUGGAUAAGAGCCUCUAGAUGGACAGGCUCAAAAAUCACAUCUGCAUCUGGUGGCACUUGACCCUUGUUGGUCCCAGUAAAUAUCCUCAGAAGAUAGAAAUAAAACAGACCGGUUAUGGUGUUAGUAUUUUGUGCUAUAUGAACAAUGACUUAAUUAAAAAUGCAAAUAAAUAUUCACCUUUUUCAAAAGCCAAUGGAACCUGGCUCUGGGUGAUAGCGCUUGGGUGCCUAUAAAGAAGACACCAACCCUUCUUUGGAAGCCGAAGUGGAGGAAGCCAGAGUAGGACUAAAUUAAUUUAUUAUGCAAUAAAAUACAAAGAAACAAGUAAAAUAAAAAAUAUGUAAUAAAAUCUAUGCAAUAAAGUCUAAAGGAAUGUCCCAUAAAGGUUCCUUUUGCAGAAACCCAUUUGUCCCAGAUCACUGGGCUCUCUCAAUCGGUGUGCAAAUCAUAGCUGCUUCCUCUUGCUUGUAAAUAUCCCCAAAAAAGUGUUUAGUUGGUCCAUUCAAAACGUUUUCAUCCAAUCAAAACCCAGUUCCUUAUGGAGGGUUACGUGUGUCUGCCUUUAUGCAAUUAUCCUUAAUUCAUAUUGCAGAAGCGGUGGGCACCUUCCACUACGUCACUUCCAGCCGCAGAAAGGCCAUCUUCGUUUAGGGUACUUGCCAGCCGCCAUAUGAACCGGAUGUGACGCGUCGGAACCGGCCAUCACGUCACCUCCCCGAUCGUGCAUAUAGAUCAUUUUGGAUACUGGCAACAUUGAUCCUUUUUCUGUUUAAAUAAACCAUAGUGUGUUGAGGUAGGCAGGCAUCAGCACCAAAGCUCCCUCAGGCAGAAGAAGUGUACAUAAAACAUACACAGUAAAAGCAUUUGUACAUGUUGAUUAAAAAAAAAAAAUCAUAAAUCAUAUUAAACCAGUUUUACCAAUAUUUGAACAUUUUGUCUGUUUGGAGUACCGUAUAUACUUGUGUAUAAGUCGAUUUCGUGUAUAAGUCAAGUGCAGUUUUGUGACCAACAAUUGUGAAAUAUGCUAGGCCUCAUGGAUAAGUCGAGGGUAAAACUUGGAGCUAUGAAAUUCUGUGAUUUUUAUAAUUAUAUAUACACACACACUCAUACAAAUACACACACACACUCAUACAGUCACACAUACUCAUACAGUCACACAUACUCUGCAUUAUAUGUACACACACUCAUACAAACACUGUGAAUGCAGAGUGUGUGUGUGGUGUAUUUUAUUUUAAUAUUAUAAUUUUAUUUAUUUUUGUCCCCCUUCCCUGCUUGUUAACUGGUCAGAGGGGGGCUACGUGAAUCUCUGGUGGUCCAGUGGUAUGGGCUGUGCAGGGGGGGAGCCGGCAUGAAGCGUUUACUUACCUAUCCUGCAGCUCCCCUGUCAGCUCCCAGUGUAAAUCUCGCGGUCUGCGUAGUGCGCGGAGCAACGCUCUGAUUGCCGUGGGUCUCUAGAGACUUGUAGAGCUGACAGGAGCUGCAGGAAAGGUAAGUAAACACUUCCUGCUGGCCCCCAACAGGACCGCCGGGCUCAUAAUACAAACAGUGACUCGAGUAUAAGUCGAGUGAGGCUUUUUCAGCACAAAAAAUGUGCUGAAAAACUCAACUUAUACUCGAGUAUAUACGGUAAGUGUAAUUAAUCUUUCUCUAUCUACCUAUAGCGCUCCACUCAUAUAUAUAUGACCUGGUCUGAUGUAUUUCAAACCUAGUCGGAUAUACACCCUGUUCCAAAUUAUUAUGCAAAUUAUAUUUUUCUCAUUUAGCUAAAUAAUUGAUGCAAAUAACAGUCAGCAUAAUUCUCAUGUUAUCAACUAUUAAGAGUUAUUUAACAAACUUCCUAAUGAUAACAGUAUUUUUGGAAACAUAAAAAACUUGCAAUGCACUGUUCCAAAUUAUUACGCACAGUAAGUUUCAAAACACUUUAUAGGUUGUAAAGAACUGAAAAUUGUAAUUUGUUGUGUUUGCAGCAUAUUUACUGAAAUCAAAAACUAUUUCAAUCAAACUUAUAACAACAUUUUAACUUUUUAAACAUUUUAACAGGUCGCGUUACAUUUUAACAUAGGACCCCUUAUUUGAUAGCAGUUUCACAAAACUUGUGAGUUUUUGGACAGUUUUUGCAAGAUGUCAGAAUAGCCUCCCAGAGCUGCUGUUUGGAUGUAAACUGCCUCCCACCCUCAUAGAUCUUUUGCUUGAGGAUGCUCCAAAGGUUCUCAAAAGGAUUGAGGUCAUGGGAGGUGGAGGCCACACCAUGACUUUCUCUCCUUUUAUCCCCAUAGCAGCCAUUGAUGCAGAGGUAUUCUUUGCAGCAUGAGAUGGUGCAUUGUCAUGCAUGAAGAUGAUUUUAUUACAGAAAGCAUAGUUCUUCCUUCUGUACCAGGGAAGAAAAUGGUUAGUCAGAAACUCAUCUUUACACCUUCGGGGAUCCUAAAGGGGCCGACCAGCUCUCUUCCCAUGAUUCCGGCCCAAAACAUGACUCCACCACCUCUUGCUGACAUCGCAGCCUUGUUGGAACAAGGUGUCCAUCCACCAACCAUCCACUACUCCAUCCAUCUGGACCAUCCAGGGUUGCACGGCACUCAUGAGUGAACAGGACUGUUUGAAAAUUAGUCUUCAUGUAUUUUUCUGCCCAAUGCAGCCGUUUCUGCUUGAGCAUUGGUUAGUGGUGGCCGAAGAGUAGGUUUAUGCAGAGUUGCAAGACUCUGGAGGACUCUACACCUUGAUGUCCGUGGGACUCCAGAGGCACCAGCAGCUUCAAAUAUCUGUUUGCUGCUAUGUAAUGGUAUUGCAGCUGCUCUCUUGAUCCGAUGCAUGGAUCUGGCAGAAAUCUUCUUCAAUGUGCCUUCAUCUGCACAAACCCGUCUGUGCUCUGAAUCAGCCACAAAUCUCUUAAUAGUGCGAUGAGUACGCUUAAGUUUUCGUGAAAUAUCUAAUGUUUUCAUACCUCGUCCAAGGCAUUGAACUAUUUCACUCUUUUAGGCAGCAGAGUGAUCCCUUUUCUUCCCCAUAUUGCAUGACAAUGGUGCUCUGCUUAAUAAUGUGGAACACCCUCCUCUAGUAGUUUUUCCUUAAAUUGGGCUCACCUGGCAAUCUAAUUAUCACAGGUGUCCGAGAUUGUUUUCAGUGAUUAAAAGAGCCCUGAGACACAAUGCCAUCCAUGAGUUAAACUGAAAAACAAAAUAUUUAAUCUUUGUGACACUUAAAUAGAAUUUGCAUAAUUUUGGAACAUGGUGUAGAAAAAUCAUUACUUGAGUAAUGCAGUGUAAUGUUGGCAGCCAGUAGGGGAGGGAGGGUGAGAGGACCCGGGGGAGUUAUAAUCUGCAGCACCGCCGGGUUCUCCUCUCGUGAGCUUGAAACGUUGCCGCGGUUACCACGGCAAGGCUCCGAAUCUCGCGAGAGUGAGCAGCCCACUGUUCCCCCUCCAUUCACACAAUUGCCUUUCCCAUACAGGAACACUUUAGUAUUAGGACUACAAAGCUCAAUUGCCCCACUAUUCACACAAACUUUACCCAUCACACACACUGUGCCCCUCACACACUGUACCCCUCAUACAACCUGCCCACACACACUGCACUCCCCCAUAAGCACACUGCACCCUCACACACAAACACUCUACUCCCCAUACACAAACACACUGCCCCACCAUACACACAAUUGCCCCACACACACACACACUGCCCCUCCAUACACAGAAACUGUACCCCUCACACACACUGUACUCCUCAUACAAUCUGCACACACACACACUCUGUAUCCCUCACGCACAAGCUGCCACACGCACAUUGCACCCCACACACACACGCACACUGCACCCCCUCACACACACUACUGCCCCUAUUCCCUUCUACAGCCCAUAUCCCGACAGAUCCCAGGCAAGUUGUAAACAGUUUUACUACUUACUCUUGGAGGGCACUACUGGCACCAUAACCACUACAAAGUGCUGAAGUGGUUAUUGUGACUGGAUUGUUUUAAAUAAUCUACCAGUGCCCCUCCCAAGAUUAGGUUCUGGAUCUGCGCUUGAACGGCAAGCAUUUCUGCUGAAUAGGGGCCCAGUAUAUGCCGCUGCACUGCACAUAUAUACAACCUAGAAAAUCUUUUGACUUGGGGCGCCUUAGAAAAAUAUUAAAAUAUUAAGGGCGCCUUGAAUCUAAAAAGUUUGGGAACCACUGGGUCAUAAGAAAUUUGUGUAACAAUAAACUGUAUGUCCACUAGGAAAACAUGAACUAACGUAAUACAUUUUCUAACCAUGUAAACUUGUUACAACUCCACCUGCUGUUGGACAAAAAAAAUCAUAAAUGUUGCGCUUCAUGUUAUAUAUAAAUAUGUCCAGGCACUGAGUAGUUUAAAGACAUGGUAGUGUUAAUUGGAUCAAAGUGAACACACUUUGAUCCAAUCACUGCCAUGCUUUAAACUUCUGAGCAUCUAUAUAUAUUUGAAUAUAUUAUGUGAGGAGUCUGUGCCUGCUCCUGUUCGGCUAAGCACCAGUAGUUUUUCACAGGAGAUUAGUGCAGUCCCCUUCGCGUUAGUAUAAAUGUUGCUGUUCAAACAGGUAAAAAAUAUUUCUCCAUGCUCUGAAUUAUUUAACUUACAACCAUUCUACUUUUUUUUUUUUUUUUUUUAAACUGGUGGGGGGAAAAUGCAGUAACUCUCAGCCAACUUUUUUGUAGCUUACUAUUCUACUAGAGAAUCUGAGAGGAUGUGAAUUUUAUUGUAUUCCUUGUGAAUUGUCAAAGUGAACUUUUAAUUUGUAGACCAAAGUAGUUACAUUGUCCAAAUUCUAAUUAGUUAGGUUUCGGAUUUACUUUGGCCUACACUUUUUCACUUUCCACAUUGCUGAUUUUUAAAGGUUUUUGUUUUCUAUGGUAAAAUCCAAUGCUACGUGAUCAUUCCAUAAUAUUUCCCUUUGUACAUGAAUUCAAAAUUCACUUCCACACACCAUGUAUAGAUUUGUAUCUACACUACUUGCUGGAUAGGAAGUUGACCAUGGAGGUUUAUUGUUUCAUGGCCUGGUGGAAUGCCAUAUUUGUUUUAAGCUUCCUUCUCAACUUAGUGUAGUGGUUGAAAAGGUUUAAAAUCAGUUCGAAUCAAAGCCCUGAAAUUGUCCCCAGUAAUUGCUGUGAUUGGCAUAUGCAGUUGAGGUUAGGUAAUAUUGACAUAAGUAUUUAUUUCACAUUAUCAAAGCUCAAUUUGACUUUAGAUCUUUGGGCUUUCACAAAAUAUAGUACCAAAUCUUAUUCAUAUAGCAGGAUCCAGUGCUUCUCAGUCCGGUGUCUAACCCACAAUCAUUAAGUAUAAGAAAAAUUACUGCUCACACAAAUUGCAUCAAUACAGAAAAUCUUUCUUAAAGGAACACUUUAGUAUUAGAACUACAAAGUUUAAUUCAAUGCUUUAUGGGAGAUUUGAACGCGAUGAACUUGAGGACAUCAAGCAUCGUUUUACGGAGUCAAUCCGUGAACGAGCAGGAAGCACCUCUAGUCACUGUCUGGUAGACAGCCUCUAGAGGCAGUCUUAACCUUGCAUUAUAAACAUUGCAGUUUCUCUAAAACUACAAUGUUUUACAUUACAGGGUUAAGGGACAGUGCACACAAUGAGAUGAAGUGGGUGCCUAUAAUGCCCCUAUAAGCCUGAGAGACUUGCGUAAGAGCUGAUGUGUUGGUGUUAACAGUUUCUGAAUACACUUUCUGUGUGCUAGGUCAUCUUUCUUACACUAGAUAAAACUGGCGCAUAGAGACUUCAAGAAUCUUAGCCACUACACAAUCCUGUCAUAUUUAUUACUGUGCCUUUAACAUAGAUCCAAAUGUAGGUUUUUUUUUAUUUUUAUUAUAUAUAUUUUAUUUUAAAUUUGAUUAAUCUGUAUGUAAAAAAAUGACUUUAAUUAUUGACUUGGGUGACUAGAGGAAACUUAUAAUGUAUGCAUAGUUUCUUUACAGUGACACCUGUAUAUAUUUCGGUUUACCCCAGGGCUAUGAUUUGCUUUUCACAGUGAGCAUCUGUAAACAUCCUCGACUGGAAGCUGUGAAGCAACUGAGGGGCUUUCAGUCGGAUGUUUGCAGCUGCCAACUGCUGCACACUUCAAGGAUUUUAGCAAGCCGUUCAAUGUACAAAUUCCUUUAUUUCAAAAGUAUAUUAUAUUAACUUGACCCAACAACAUUUUUAAACUAUUGAUUUUUGGUUUCAUCAUGCUUGUAGAUGACACUCAUGGAAAAACUGGCUGAAACACUAUUGGACCCAUGGUGAUUCUUCACUGAAGCACGGGCCACGGGGAAUUCCACCAUUCUUUAAAUCAGACUGGUGUACAGUUUUGAAACUUGUUAAUGGAGAGUGCUUUAACAGCUUGGAUAUUGAAUGCUGCCAACUCCCACACUCCUUAAUCCGAUUUCCUGAACUUUGUUCUCUGUAACUCAUACAAGGUUCAUGACCAGAAGUCUAUAAUCCUGUCAUGUUUUCCUGAUGGCUUGUUGCAGGUUUGGUAUAUAUUCAAGUUUUUUUGGUUUUGUUUAGUGUUUGUGUCAAUUCCCAUUCUAUAUAUUUGUAGCUUUUACACGUAGUAUAAAAAUGGAGAUUGCUUCUAUAUUUGAGAACUUUAGUGUCAGUCAGUUCUAAACUAAGAUCUAUUUUUAUUCCCCAUUACAAUCCCACAUUUUGUGCUAAUUUGCUACCUCCGAGUAGUACAGAAGCCCCCACUGGGGUGAAUCUGACUCACACUAAC